AUUGAACGCUGGCGGCAGGCCUAAUACAUGCAAGUCGAGCGGAGCGGCGGACGGGCGAGUAAUGCCUAGGAAUCUGCCCGGUAUUGGGGGAUAACGUCCGGAAACGGGCGCUUAUAUCGCAUACUAUCAGAUGAGCCUAGGUCGGAUUAUCUAGUUGGUGGGGUAAAGGCCUACCAAGGCGACGACCCGUAACUGGUCCGAUAGGAUGAUCAGUCACACUGGAACUGAGACACGGUCCAGACUCCUACGGGAGGCAGCAGUGGGAAAUAGUGGACAAUGGGCGAAAGCCUGAUCCAGCCAUGCCGCGUGUGUGAAGAAGUUUUUCGGAUUGUAAAGCACUUUAAGUUGGGAGGCGUUACCAACAGAAAAAGCACCGGCUAACUACGUGCCAGCCGCCGCGGUAAUAC
This 407-nucleotide ribosomal RNA is filed under the name uncultured bacterium. RNAcentral's name for it is "partial 16S ribosomal RNA". It matches the Rfam family "Bacterial small subunit ribosomal RNA", at positions 30 to 526 of the family's 1533-position model. The record is from RNAcentral.